AGAUAGAACUACUAAGCCAUUAGGUGGAUGACUUAGCUCAAGUCACAGAGGAAGGGCGUGGCAAGCUACGAAAUGCAUCGGCGAGGCGCAUGCAGCCUGAGAACCGGUGAUUCCUGAAUGGGACUUCCUAGAUAAGUUUUCUUAUCUGGCCAGAGAUGGUCUAAAACACAGGGAACUAAAACAUUAUAGUACCUGUAGGAAAAGAAAUCAAUAGAGAUGCUGCUAGUAUCAGCGAGAGAGCGCAGCAAAGGUCAAACUGAAUCUCUCUUAGAAAUAAGAGCGAGAUGUGGUGUCAUAGGACCUGCUUUUAGUCUUAAUUGCAAUAAGCAAAGUUAACUGGAACGUUAUGCUAUAGAGGGUGAUAGCCCCGUAGUUUAUUGCAAAAAGAUGUGCAGGUAUCCUGAGUACUGUUUCUUAAAUUUGAAGCAGGAAAUUGGGAGUUAUCAACUCCUAAACCUAAAUAUGUCUUGAGUCUGAUAGCGAAUAAUAGUACAGUGAUGGAACGUUGAAAAGAACUCUCAGCAGAGAGUGAAAAGAUCCUGAAACCUAAUGGUGAUAUUAUGAUACAGCUAACGUUGUAUCGUACGUUUCGAAUAACGGGCCAGGGAGUUAAUUCAAGUGGCGAGGAUAGGCUUUGAAAAGGCUGAUCCAAAGAGAAAUCAAGUUCUUGCAGCUUGCGAGAAGACUGGUAUGAAAGUGCCAUGAGUCACUUGGGUUUGACAAGAAACUGCUCGAUCUAAUCCUGGGCAAGAUGAAGCGAGGGUAAUACCUCGUGGAGGUCUGAAGAUGUGCUACGUGCAUGUGCUAUUCUGACCUGGGAUUAGGGGUGAAAAGCCAAUCGAGAGCAGUGAUAGCUUGUUCCUGCUGAAAUAUGCCGCAGUAUAGUCUUGAGCGAGAUCGUUGUAGUUGUAGAGCUACGGAUUUGAAGGUAAGGGAGCGAAAGUUCUCGCCUUCUUGUUCAACUCCGAAUGCUACAACAUUGUAGACCUCAGGAAACAGGGGCGCGCGGUAAGCGUGUGUCCUAAGAGGGGAACAACCCAGAUUAUGGUUAAGGUCCCAAAAUGCUGGUUAAGUGUUAAAGGUUAAAAGGCGUACAUAACCACAGACAGGUGGGAGGUAGGCUCAGAAGCAGCCACCCUUUAAAGAAAGCGUAAGUUAACGACCGUUAAAUUUUAGAAGAUAUAAAGACCAUAUUGUUAGAUUUCUUUGAGAGAUCAAGUGGUAAAGUUUGUUGUUAUGAAAAUAAAAACGGGAUAUAUCCGCGGUUUGUUUUAAGAAUAGCUAAUCGGGAUAGCAUAAAAAAGUUUUACAAUACUUUUGUGUUGCUUAAUCCCGAAAAGAAAGAAAAAUUGAAUAUUCUUUUGCGGUCGUUAACCGCUAGAUAGCUCACCAUUCAAGGUUAUGCGCCCUGAAAAUGGACGGGGCUAAACCAGUUACCGAUACCAUAAACGAGCCAAAAGCUUUGUGGUAAGCAGGCGUCCUGUUUGGGCAGAAGUUAUAUCGUGAGAUAUGAUGGACCAAAUUGGAAUGAGAAUCCUGGCGGUAGUAGGAUCUAUAUAGAGUGAGAAUCUCUAAUACCGAAAGGCUAAGGGUUUCUUAGCAAUGUAAAUCAUCUAAGAGUUAGUUGGCCCUAACAAGAGUCAUAACUUGACUGCUUGGAACAGGAGAAAUGGUUAAUAUUCCAUUACUGCUUAAUUACGUUCGGCAACGAAAGCUUAGCUGCUGACAUUUUGGGCUAGGUUAACAAUUCUCGUCUGAAUUGUCAAUUGGCAUAAAUCUGGGGAGUAUUGUAAUAAUGAGAACCAGAUUAAAGCCAAGAUGAGCUGGCAUUGUCAGUUUAACUGAUGCCUGGAAUCCAUGAAAAGGCAGCUGGGAAGGAUAUUAAGCAACCAUACCAAGAACCAGCACUGGUGGCCCAGGUUAGAAGCCUAAGGUAUGAGAGGUAUACCCUAGUUGAAGGAAUUCGGCAAUUUAGCCUCGUGACUUUGGCAUAAGAGGUCCCUGCGAUUGUGUUUUUUAAAUGCAAUUACAGGGUGCAAUAACAAAGCGGGUCCGACUGUUUAACAAAAACACAACCAACUGCUAGCCUGUAAAGGUUUGUAUAGUUGGUGACGUCUGCCCAGUGCCAGUACUUCAAAGCACAGUUCAAUGUGCCUAAGAGCUGGUAAACGGCGGGAAUAACUAUAAUUCUCUUAAGGUAGCGUAAUACCUUGUCGUUUGAUUGACGACUUGCAUGAAUGGCGUAACGAGAUCCGCACUGUCUUCAACUAGGUCCUCCCGAACACACCCAUCUGGUGCAAAGGCCAGAGGUUUCCAGUGGGAAGCGAAGACCCCGUAGAUGGUACAAGCAAAAACUUGAUAAACAAUGUAGUACUGUAUAUCGGGGUAUGAAAAUAACCAAAAAUCUAUCCUAUCUUACUGGAGUAUAUAUCGGAGAUGGAAAUAUAUACUCCAAAGGUAGAACACACAAAAUUACUUACAGCGGUAAUCUAAUCAAUGAAAAAGAUUUUUAUUACCAGGUGUUAAAACCGCUUAUUAAAUCUGUGUACGGGUUAGAAGCAAAUUAUUACAAAAGAAAAAGUGAUAAUAGUGUUUUACUGGUGAUCAAUUCAAAGGAGCUAAUAGAAUUUAAAAACAAAACUUUAGGAUUAUCUCCAGGAAAGAAAACUAACAUCAAAAUCCCGAAACAGAUUAUAAGCAAUAGAAAUCUUUUGUUGAGGUGUUUAAGAGGCAUUGGCGAUACAGAUUUUUCAUUAUCCUUUAAAAAGAAUAAAAAAGGUCUGUAUACUGAGCCACGAUUAGAGUUGUAUAGCCAAUCUGAAUUAUUAAUCAAAGACAUUCAACAAUCUUUGCUGAGUUUUGGCUUUACAUGCGCUAUUGAAAAGAAAAAUAAAAAAUAUCAUGGUUAUAUGCUAAGAAUGUAUGGAAAAAAGAAUCUAUACACAUGGUUAAAAUUGAUAGGAUUUUCUAACCCUUAUAGAAAAGUAAAGGUUAGAAUAUGGGAAAAAUUUGGUUAUUUCAUACCUAAAAAAACUUAUGACGAAUAUGUCAAAUUACUAAAUUGAUUUUGCUUGUUCCAACGGAAAACUUUACUGUAGCUUGCUGCUGUGAUGUGAAGCUUGUUGUUAAGCGUAGGUAGGAGUCGCUAAAGCUUAGACGCUAGUUUAAGUGUAGACGCCAAUGAGACACUACCCUUCAAGCUUUACAUUGCUUACUUUAGAAAUAAAGGACCACAACAGGCAGACAGUUUGGCUGGGGCGGCACCCCGCUGAAAAGAUAUCAGUGGGGCCCAAAGGUCAGCUCAAGAGGUUUAGAAAUCCUCUGUGGAGUGCAAGAGCAAAAGCUGGCUUGACUGGAUCUAUAACUAUAUUAGAUUCAGGAACGAAAGUUUGGUCUAGCGAACUACUAUGUCCUUAUUGAUAGGGGCUAGUCAUGACAGAAAAGCUAUCUCGGGCAUAAUUGAGUCGUAGCGCCUAAGCGCUCACAGCGACGGCGCUGCUUGCUACCUCGAUGUCGGCUCUUCCUAUCCUAGGCGUGCAGAAGCGCCUAAGGGUGAAGGUGUUCACUUAUUAAAAGGAGAUAAGUCGUCAUAUUAUAUAAAAAAAAUAGUACACCACCUGAACACUAAGUCACGAUGAUGGUGCAUUUUAAUUAUCGAUUUACUCCACUAAUAGAGGGAUCGUGAGCUGGGUUAAGAACGUUAAUAAUAUAGCGUUGCAUAAUCGUAAGGUUAUGAAUAAUAAAAUUGGCUCAUAUCGGUGAAACCUUAACUUUUUUAAACUGUGAAAGUUAUGGCAAUACCGAGGGAAGGUAGGAAUUAUGGAUUCAACAACGCUUGCGUAUAUAGCUGGUUUUCUUGACGGCGAUGGAAGCAUUUUUUUUCAGAUAGUGCCAAGGAAAGAUUACAAAGAUAAAUUCCAGAUAAGAAGCAGCAUUGCAUUUUAUCAAAAAACGGAGUUUAUUGAAAUCUUAAAUUGGCUCAGAAGCUGCUUCAAUUGCGGUUACAUAAGAAUUAGAAAAACAGGAGUCAGCGAUUAUACAAUUGUUGAAUCAAAAGAAGUCAAAAGAAUGCUUUUGCUUCUGCAACCAUAUGUUAAGCUGAAGAAAAAGCAAAUUGAACUUGGUUUGAAUAUACUGCAGAAACUUGAAAAUAAAAAAUCAAGAAAAGAUUUUUUAGAAAUCUGCAAAUUGGUCGACAAAUUUAAAGACCUUAAUUAUUCAAAGAAAAGGACAAUAACAUAUGAUGUUGUAAGUGGUUCCUUACCCCCGUAGAGACUUAAGCAUAAAGCUUGGAGUUUUGCAUUUUUGCAAAGCUAAUACGCCAGUCUCCUUUUUUGCAAGAAAAGGAUGAAGGUAUAGUCCACGCCAUUUCGAAAACAUAAGAAUGGAAUAACGUGUGCGAGACAGUUUGUAUGAUAUCUACUGGAAGUGUUUACUAUCUGAGUGGAAGAACCAUCUAGUACGAGAGGAACGAUGGCUCGGCGCCUCUAGUUUACCAGUUGUCUGACAAGGCAGGCUGGGCAGCCACGCGCCAAGGGAUAAGUUCUGAAAGCAUCUAAGAACGAAGCCCCCCGCGAAAAAAGAUAUAGGACACGGCUUACAACAGCCGUUUGAUGGGAUUGGGGUGUAAGCACAAAGGCAACGAUGUGUUCAGCCUGCAAUUUCCAACAGUCCGAUUUUAUUAUCUAA
Molecule: ribosomal RNA, 4689 nt
Filed under: Candidatus Brocadiales bacterium
Lineage: Bacteria; Pseudomonadati; Planctomycetota; Candidatus Brocadiia; Candidatus Brocadiales
Description: 23S ribosomal RNA
Rfam family: Archaeal large subunit ribosomal RNA (bases 3-3647)
Source: RNAcentral